Molecule: ribosomal RNA, 633 nt
Filed under: Actinoplanes sp. Ri1Pw_5663
Lineage: Bacteria; Bacillati; Actinomycetota; Actinomycetes; Micromonosporales; Micromonosporaceae
Description: bacterial SSU rRNA
Rfam family: Bacterial small subunit ribosomal RNA
Source: RNAcentral
CCUGAUGCAGCGACGCCGCGUGAGGGAUGACGGCCUUCGGGUUGUAAACCUCUUUCAGCAGGGACGAAGCGCAAGUGACGGUACCUGCAGAAGAAGCGCCGGCCAACUACGUGCCAGCAGCCGCGGUAAGACGUAGGGCGCGAGCGUUGUCCGGAUUUAUUGGGCGUAAAGAGCUCGUAGGCGGCUUGUCGCGUCGACUGUGAAAACCCGCGGCUCAACCGCGGGCCUGCAGUCGAUACGGGCAGGCUAGAGUUCGGUAGGGGAGACUGGAAUUCCUGGUGUAGCGGUGAAAUGCGCAGAUAUCAGGAGGAACACCGAUGGCGAAGGCAGGUCUCUGGGCCGAUACUGACGCUGAGGAGCGAAAGCGUGGGGAGCGAACAGGAUUAGAUACCCUGGUAGUCCACGCUGUAAACGUUGGGCGCUAGGUGUGGGGGACCUCUCCGGUUCUCUGUGCCGCAGCUAACGCAUUAAGCGCCCCGCCUGGGGAGUACGGCCGCAAGGCUAAAACUCAAAGGAAUUGACGGGGGCCCGCACAAGCGGCGGAGCAUGCGGAUUAAUUCGAUGCAACGCGAAGAACCUUACCUGGGUUUGACAUCGCCGGAAAACUCGUAGAGAUACGGGGUCCUUCGGGGC